UAAUGGCCCACCAAGGCGAUGACGUGUAGUUAUGCUGAGAGGUAGAAUAACCACAAUGGGACUGAGACACGGCCCAUACUCCUACGGGAGGCAGCAGUAGGGAAUUUUUCACAAUGGACGAAAGUCUGAUGGAGCAAUGCCGCGUGAACGAUGAAGGUCUUUUUAGAUUGUAAAGUUCUUUUAUUUGGGAAGAACAGUUAAUAGAGUGGAAAGCUAUUAAUUUGACUGUACCAU
RNAcentral lists this ribosomal RNA (234 nucleotides) under Mycoplasmoides gallisepticum. RNAcentral describes it as "Mycoplasma gallisepticum partial 16S ribosomal RNA". It matches the Rfam family "Bacterial small subunit ribosomal RNA", at positions 258 to 481 of the family's 1533-position model. The record is from RNAcentral. Lineage: Bacteria; Bacillati; Mycoplasmatota; Mycoplasmoidales; Mycoplasmoidaceae.